GGAAGGCGCAGGGAAACCGACAAGGCCGCAGCAUUGCGAGGGCCGCCGUGUUCAAGCGCGGGGAGUCAAGUGGGUGCGACCCGAAACCAGAUGAUCUACACGAGGGCAAGACGAAGCGUGGCGAAAGCCACGUGGAGGUCUGUUAGGGUUGGUGUCUUACAAUACCCUCCCGUGACCCGUGUGUAGGGGUGAAAGGCCCAUCGAAUCUGGCAACAGCUGGUUCCAGCCGAAACAUGUCGAAGCAUGACCUCAGCCGAGAUAGUCUGCGAGGUAGAGCGACCGAUUGGAAGACCCGCCUCCGAGAGGAGUCGGCCUUCCUGUCGAACUCCAAACUUGCAGACGUCGUAGACGCUGGGAAUCCGGACUGCGGGGUAAGCUUGUGGUCCGUGAGGGAGACAACCCAGAGCCGGGUUAAGGUCCCCAAGUGUGGAUUAAGUGCGAUCGAAGAUUGUCUCGAGCCCUAAACAGCCGGGAGGUGAGCUUAGAAGCAGCUACCCUCUAAGAAAAGCGUAACAGCUUACCGGCCGAGGUUCGAGGCGUCGAAAAUGAUCGGGGCUCAAAUCCACCACCGAGACCUGGCAGCAGGCGACACCAUACGCCUGACCUAGUAGGCUGGCAUACUGUGCGGGUGGAAGCUCGGGCGAGAGCUCGCGUGGACCGCUCAGUAACGAAAAUCCUGGUCACAGUAGCAGCGAGAGUCGGGUGCGAACCCCGACGACCUUACGAGUAAGGGUUCCUCGGCACUGCCAAUCAGCCGAGGGUUAGUCGAUCCUAAGUCUCACCGUAACUCGAAUGAGACAAACGGGAAACUGGUUAAUAUUCCAGUACCAUCACCACUCAAAGCCGACGCUUUGGGAAACUUCAAGCCGGGCCUUCGCCCGGUCGAAUCACGGAAGCUCGUGGAAGCCGUAACGGCACGAAGCGAACGAAGCGUGAGACAGCGCAAGUUGAAGGUACCUAGAGCCCGUGAAAAGGCAAGCGUGAUGAUCGUACCGAGAUCCGACACAGGUACUCUGGCGGAGAAAGCCAAGGUCUGUCGGGAUCAACCGACGUUAGGGAAUUCGGCAAGUUAGUCCCGUAAGUUCGCGAUAAGGGAUGCCUGCUCCUGACCGAGCAGGUCGCAGUGACUCGGGCGCUCCAACUGUCUAGUAACAACAUAGGUGACCGCAAAUCCGCAAGGACUCGUACGGUCACUGAAUCCUGCCCAGUGCAGGUAUCUGAACACCUCGUACAAGAGGACGAAGGACCUGUCAACGGCGGGGGUAACUAUGACCCUCUUAAGGUAGCGUAGUACCUUGCCGCUUCAGUAGCGGCUUGCAUGAAUGGAUCAAUGAGAGCGCCACUGUCCCAACGUUGGGCCCGGUGAACUGUACGUUCCAGUGCGGAGUCUGGAGACCCCCAAGGGGAAGCGAAGACCCUAUAGAGCUUUACUGCAGGCUGUCGCUGGGACGUGGUCGCUGAUGUGCAGCAUAGGUAGGAGACACUACACAGGUAUCCGCGCUAGCGGACCACCGAGUCAUCAUUGAAAUACUACCCGUCAGUGACUGCGACCCUCACUCCGGGAGGAGGACACCGGUAGCCGGGCAGUUUGACUGGGGCGGUACGCGCUCGAAAAGAUAUCGAGCGCGCCCAAAGAUUUCCUCACGCGAGUCGGAAACUCGUGGAAGAGCGCAAGAGCACACGGAAGUCUGACAGUGUCAUUCCCAACGAGUGACGCUGACGCGAAAGCGUGGUCUAGCGAACCUACGAGGUUCAUUCAUGGGACCCGUAGAUGACAGAAAAGCUACCUUAGGGAUAACAGAGUCGUCACCGGCAAGAGCACAUAUCGACCCGGUGGCUUGCUACCUCGAUGUCGGUUCCCUCCAUCCUGCCUGUGCAGAAGCAGGCAAGGGUGAGGUUGUUCGCCUAUUAAAGGAGGUCGUGAGCUGGGUUUAGACCGUCGUGAGACAGGUCGGCUGCUAUCUAUUGGGGGUGUUACGGUACUUGACGGGAACGAUCGUAUAGUACGAGAGGAACUACGAUUGGUCGCCGCUGGUGUAUCGGUUGUCCGAAAGGGCAGAUGCCGAGUAGCUACGCGACACGGGGUAAGAGCUGAACGCAUCUAAGCUCGAAACCCACCUGGAAAAGAAGUACCACCGAGGACACUUGUAGAAGACAAGUUCGAUAGACUUGGGAUGUACGUGCCGAGGCAACGAGGCAUUCAGUCCACGAGCACUAACAGUCCAAAGCCA
Molecule: ribosomal RNA, 2231 nt
Filed under: Halogeometricum borinquense DSM 11551
Lineage: Archaea; Methanobacteriati; Methanobacteriota; Halobacteria; Halobacteriales; Haloferacaceae
Description: bacterial LSU rRNA
Rfam family: Archaeal large subunit ribosomal RNA
Source: RNAcentral